UGCCCAGCAACUCCUAUCCCUACCUCCACGCGGUACCGGCCGGAAACUAUGAGCAACCUUAGGGAAGAUCGGGUAACCAACCCCGGUGGGAACUGUGGUCGUAGGCUGACAGGGAAGG
Non-coding RNA from Aedes albopictus (Asian tiger mosquito), 118 nucleotides. The record is from Rfam. NCBI's taxonomy places the organism in Eukaryota, Metazoa, Arthropoda, Insecta, Diptera, Culicidae.